RNAcentral lists this long non-coding RNA (7996 nucleotides) under Danio rerio (zebrafish). RNAcentral's name for it is "lncRNA (ENSDARG00000117669.1)". The record is from RNAcentral. Lineage: Eukaryota; Metazoa; Chordata; Actinopteri; Cypriniformes; Danionidae.
CUAUGACUCAAAAACAUUUUGAAAUAGCAAACAGGUGUGGAGAACGUGACCAUAGGUCAAGAACAUAUUUAAUGCCAAGAGCAUAUUUAAUGCCAUUGUUUUCCUGUGGUUGCCAUGCGAAAUUCAUUAAAACAAAGUGAGCACUGCUUUUUAUAGAACGUCAUAAGAACAAAAGAAACCAACGUUACCAAGUAUUACAAUAUUAAGUAUUAUGUUUCAGGAACUGCAUUGUUCAAGUGAUGGACAUGAGUGCUACCCAAAAUCCUAUGACUUGUUGAAGAGUGGUGCUGAUUUACGACUUUUGGCAUACGAUAACACACAGACCUACAUUGAAGGAGUGACCCAUCAAUGUCUAUAGAUAACAUAGCAACCACACAGCAACUUCUGAAACAUAUCAGUUUAUUUCCUGUAUUCUGACUGGUUCAAACAAGCGGUUACGUUUGCAGGAUUAACUGUUCAACCUAUUAGUUCCUGAAGGGUUGUAACAUGAUAGAGUGAAAUAUUAUAGAGUGAUUUUCCAGUCCAUCGUCUAUUAGGCUACAAAACAAAACAAAAAUAUACUUCAAAUAUAAGUAAACAAGAAAUCACUGCUUUCAGAGAUUCUAAUCACCUGGAUUAUAUUGUUGAGAAACAACUUUAUUGGAUCUAACUAUGUUUAACUUUCAGGGAGCAUGCACACAUCUUGUUGCUGGUUGAUGUUGAAAUUUAACAGAGGAGACACACUGAUGGCUGGUGCAUUUGCAAUUGGCUAAAUCAUUUUCAUUUCAAACAAAAACAACCAUCUUACAGGAACUUUCUAAACAUGUAUUUAUGGAAAAUACUGCACUUUAUUGCCUUACUUCUGCUGCUGCAUUUCAUCUGCAUUGGAGCAAACACAGAUCAAUGUUCUGAGUUUACAACUGAAAUAUCUUCAGCUACUGCUGAAAAAACCACAAGCCAACAGACAAAAAACAGCCCUACUAUUUGUACCACAAAAACAGAAUCUACAUCACUUACAACAGACGAGUUCCCUGUGACCUCAUUUGAAACAUCUACAAAGAAAACUGGUCCAACACUGGAAACUACACUAUACGCAACAGGUACCUCUACAUCUCAAGGAACUUCCACAUCAGAAAAGCAGACUACAUCAUCUAUGACUGAGUUUACAACAGAAAUAACAUCAGCUACUGUAGAACAAGCCACAAGCCAACAGACACAAACCAGUCCUGAUAGUUCCCAUACAAUAACAGAAUCAACACCCUUCACAACAGAAGAGUCCACUGGGACUACAAUCACAUCGGAAUCUUCUACGAUGGAAACUACAAUAAACACAACAGGUACCUCUCCAUCUCCUGUAACUUCAACAACAGAAGAGCAGAAUACAUCAUCUAUGACUGAGUUUACAACUGAAACAACAUCAGCUACUGUAGAACUAACCACAAGCCAACAGACACAAACCAGUCCUGAUAGUUCCCCCACAAUACCAGAAUCAACACCCUUCACAACAGAAGAGUCCACUGGGACAACAAUCACAUCGGAAUCUUCUACGAUGGCAACAACAAUAUACACAACAGGUACCUCUCCAUCUCCAGUAACUUCAACAACAGAAGAGCAGAAUUCAUCAUCUAUGACUGAGUUUACAACAGAAACUUCAGCUACUGUAGAACUAACCAAAAGCCAACAGACACAAACCAAUCCUGAUAGUUCCCCCACAAUACCAGAAUCAACACCCUUCAAAACAGAAGAGUCCACUGAGACUACAACCACAUCUGAAUCUUCUACAAUGGAAACACUAUACACAACAGGUACCUCUCCAUCUCCGGUAACUUCAACAACAGAAGAGCAGAAUACAUCAUCUAUGACUGAGUUUACAACUGAAACAAUAUCAGCUACUGUAGAACUAACCACAAGCCAACAGACACAAACCAAUUCUGAUAGUUCCCCCACAAUAACAGAAUCAACACCCUUCACAACAGAAGAGUCCACUGGGACUACAAUCACAUCAGAAUCUUCUACAAUGGAAACGACAAUAUACACAACAGGUACCUCUCCAUCUCCGGUAACUUCAACAACAGAAGAGCAGAAUACAUCAUCUAUGACUGAGUUUACAACAGAAACUUCAGCUACUGUAGAACUAACCACAAGCCAACAGACACAAACCAAUCCUGGUAGUUCCCCCACAAUACCAGAAUCAACACCCUUCACAACAGAAGAGUCCACUGGGACUACAAUCACAUCAGAAUCUUCUACAAUGGAAACGACAAUAUACACAGCAGGUACCUCUCCAUCUCCAGUAACUUCAACAACAGAGGAGCAGAAUACAUCAUCUAUGACUGAGUUUACAACUGAAACAAUAUCAGCUACUGUAGUACCAACCACAAGCCAACCGAUACAAACCAGUCCUGAUAGUUCCCCUACAAUAACAGAAUCAACACCCUUCACAACAGAAGAGUCCACUGGGACUACAACCACAUCUGAAUCUUCUACAAUGGAAACACUAUACACAACAGGUACCUCUGCAUCUCCGGUAAUUUUAACAACAGAGGAGCAGAAUAAAUCAUCUAUGACUGAGUUUACAACUGAAACAAUAUCAGCUACUGUAGUACCAACCACAAGCCAACCGAUACAAACCAGUCCUGAUAGCUCCCCCACAAUAACAGAAUCAACACCCUUCACAACAGAAGAGUCCACUGGGACAACAAUCACAUCGGAAUCUUCUACAAUGAAAACUACAGUGUACACAACCGGUAACUCUCCAUCUCCGGUAACUUUAACAACAGAAGAGCAGACUACAUCAUCUAUGACUGAGUUCACAACAGAAACUUCAGCUACUGUAGAACUAACCAAAAGCCAACAGACACAAACCAAUCCUGAUAGUUCCCCCACAAAACCAGAAUCAACACCCUUCACAAGAGAAGAGUCCACUGGGACUACAACCACAUCGGAAUCUUCUACAAUGAAAACACUAUACACAAAAGGUACCUCUGCAUCUCCGGUAACUUCAACAACAGAGGAGCAGAAUACAUCAUCUAUGACUGAGUUUACAACCGAAACAAUAUCAGCUACUGUAGAACUAACCACAAGCCAACAGACACAAACCAGUCCUGAUAGUUCCCCCACAAUAACAGAAUCAACACCCUUCACAACAGAAGAGUCCACUGGGACUACAAUCACAUCAGAAUCUUCUACGAUGGAAACGACAAUAUACACAACAGGUACCUCUCCAUCUCCGGUAACUUCAACAACAGAAGAGCAGAAUACAUCAUCUAUGACUGAGUUUACAACCGAAACAAUAUCAGCUACUGUAGAACUAACCACAAGCCAACAGACACAAACCAAUCCUGAUAGUUCCCCCACAAUACCAGAAUCAACACCCUUCACAACAGAAGAGUCCACUGGGACUACAAUCACAUCAGAAUCUUCUACAAUGGAAACGACACUAUACACAACAGGUACCUCUGCAUCUCUGGUAACUUCAACAACAGAGGAGCAGAAAACAUCAUCUAUGGCUGAGUUUACAACCGAAACAAUAUCAGCUACUGUAGAACUAACCACAAGCCAACAGACACCAACCAGUCCUGAUAGUUCCCCCACAAUACCAGAAUCAACACCCUUCACAACAGAAGAGUCCACUAGGACAACAAUCACAUCGGAAUCUUCUACAAUGAAAACUACAGUAUACACAACAGGUACCUCUCCAUCUCUAGUAACUUCAAAAACAGAAGAGCAGACUACAUUAUCUAUGACUGAGUUUACAACCGAAACAAUAUCAGCUACUGUAGAACUAACCACAAGCCAACAGAUACAAACCAAUCCUGUUAGUUCCCCCACAAUACCAGAAUCAACACCCUUCACAACAGAAGAGUCCACUGGGACUACAACCACAUCUGAAUCUUCUACAAUGGAAACAUUAUACACAACAGGUAGCUCUGCAUCUCCAGUAACUUCAACAACAGAGGAGCAGAAUACAUUAUCUAUGACUGAGUUUACAACCAAAACAAUAUCAGCUAUUGUAGAACUAACCACAAGCCAACAGACACAAACCAGUCCUGAUAGUUCCCCAACAAUAACAGAAUCAACACCCUUCACAACAGAAGAAUCCACUGGGACAACAAUCAAAUCAGAAUCUUCUACGAUGGAAACGACAAUAUACACAACAGGUACCUCUCCAUCUCCGGUAACUUCAACAACAGAAGAGCAGAAUACAUCAUCUAUGACUGAGUUUACAACAGAAACAAUAUCAGCUACUGUAGAACUAACCACAAGCCAACAGACACCAACCAGUCCUGAUAGUUCCCCCACAAUAACAGAAUCAACACCCUUCACAACAGAAGAGUUCACUGGGACUACAACCACAUCGGAAUCUUCUACGAUGGCAACGACAAUAUACACAACAGGUACCUCUGCAUCUCCAGUAACUUCAACAACAGAGGAGCAGAAAACAUUAUUUAUGACUGAGUUUACAACCGAAACAAUAUCAGCUACUGUAGUACCAACCACAAGCCAACAAACACAAACCAGUCCUGAUAGUUCCCCCACAAUAACAGAAUCAACACCCUUCACAACAGAAGAGUCCACUGGGACUACAAUCACAUCGGAAUCUUCUACGAUGGAAACUACAAUAAACACAACAGGUACCUCUCCAUCUCCUGUAACUACAACAACAGAAGAGCAGAAUUCAUCAUCUAUGACUGAGUUUACAACAGAAACUUCAGCUACUGUAGAACUAACCAAAAGCCAACAGACACAAACCAAUCCUGAUAGUUCCCCCACAAUACCAGAAUCAACACCCUUUACAACAGAAGAGUCCACUGGGACUACAAUAACAUCAGAAUCUUCUACAAUGGAAACGACAAUAUACACAACAGGUACCUCUGCAUCUCCGGUAACUUCAACAACAGAGGAGCAGAAUACAUCAUCUAUGACUGAGUUUACAACUGAAACAAUAUCAGCUACUGUAGUACCAACCACAAGCCAACAGAUACAAACCAGUCCUGAUAGUUUCCCCACAAUAACAGAAUCAAAACCCUUCACAACAGAAGAGUCCACUGGGACAACAACCACAUCGGAAUCUUCUACGAUGGCAACGACAAUAUACACAACAGGUACCUCUGCAUCUCCGGUAACUUCAAUAACAGAAGAGCAGACUACAUCAUCUAUGACUGAGUUUACAACAGAAACUUCAGCUACUGUAGAACUAACCACAAGCCAACAGACACAAACCAAUCCUGGUAGUUCCCCCACAAUACCAGAAUCAACACCCUUCACAACAGAAGAGUCCACUAGGACUACAAUCACAUCAGAAUCUUCUACAAUGGAAACGACAAUAUACACAACAGGUACCUCUGCAUCUCCAGUAACUUCAACAACAGAGGAGCAGAAUACAUCAUCUAUGACUGAGUUUACAACUGAAACAAUAUCAGCUACUGUAGAACUAACCACAAGCCAACCGAUACAAACCAGUCCUUAUAGUUCCCCCACAAUAACAGAAUCAACACCCUUCACAACAGAAGAGUCCACUGGGACUACAACCACAUCGGAAUCUUCUACAAUGGAAACGACAGUGUACACAACCGGUAACUCUCCAUCUCCGGUAACUUCAACAACAGAAGAGCAGAUUACAUCAUCUAUGACUGAGUUCACAACAGAAACUUCAGCUACUGUAGAACUAACCAAAAGCCAACAGACACAAACCAAUCCUGAUAGUUCCCCCACAAAACCAGAAUCAACACCCUUCACAACAGAAGAGUCCACUGGGACUACAACCACAUCUGAAUCUUCUACAAUGGAAACUACAGUAUACACAACAGGUACCUCUCCAUCUCCGGUAACUUCAACAACAGAAGAGCAGAAUACAUCAUCUAUGACUGAGUUUACAACUGAAACAAUAUCAGCUACUGUAGUACCAACCACAAGCCAACAGAUACAAACCAGUCCUGAUAGUUCCCCCACAAUAACAGAAUCAACACCCUUCACAACAGAAGAGUCCACAGGGACUACAAUCACAUCGGAAUCUUCUACAAUGGAAACACAAUACACAACAGGUACCUCUCCAUCUCCGGUAACAUCAACAACAGAAGAGCAGACUACAUCAUCUAUGACUGAGUUUACAACAGAAACUUCAGCUACUGUAAAACUAACCACAAGCCAACAGACACAAACCAAUCCUGUUAGUUCCCCCACAAUACCAGAAUCAACACCCUUCACAUCAGAAGAGUCCACUGGGACUACAACCACAUCGGAAUCUUCUACAAUGGAAACACUAUACACAACAGGUACCUCUGCAUCUCCGGUAACUUCAACAACAGAGGAGCAGAAUACAUCAUCUAUGACUGAGUUUACAACCGAAACAAUAUCAGCUAUUGUAAAACUAACCACAAGCCAACAGACACAAACCAAUCCUGAUAGUUCCCCCACAAUACCAGAAUCAACACCCUUCACAACAGAAGAGUCCACUGGGACUACAAUCACAUCGGAAUCUUCUACGAUGGAAACGACAAUAUACACAACAGGUACCUCUCCAUCUCCGGUUACUUCAACAACAGAAGAGCAAAAUACAUCAUCUAUGACUGAGUUUACAACUGAAACAAUAUCAGCUACUGUAGUACCAACCACAAGCCAACCGAUACAAACCAGUCCUGAUAGUUCCCCCACAAUAACAGAAUCAACACCCUUCACAACAGAAGAGUCCACUGGGACUACAAUCACAUCGGAAUCUUCUACAAUGGAAACUACAGUAUACACAACCGGUAACUCUCCAUCUCCGGUAACUUCAACAACAGAAGAGCAGAAUUCAUCAUCUAUGACUGAGUUUACAACAGAAACUUCAGCUACUGUAGAACUAACCAAAAGCCAACAGACACAAACCAAUCCUGAUAGUUCCCCCACAAUAACAGAAUCAACACCCUUCACAACAGAAGAGUCCACUGGGACUACAAUCACAUCAGAAUCUUCUACAAUGGAAACUACAAUAUACACAACAGGUACCUCUCCAUCUCCGGUAACUUCAACAACAGAAGAGCAGACUACAUCAUCUAUGACUGAGUUUACAACAGAAACUUCAGCUACUGUAGAACUAACCAAAAGCCAACAGACACAAACCAAUCCUGAUAGUUCCCCCACAAAACCAGAAUCAACACCCUUCACAACAGAAGAGUCCACUGGGACUACAAUCACAUCGGAAUCUUCUACAAUGGAAACUACAGUGUACACAACCGGUAACUCUCCAUCUCCGGUAACUUCAACAACAGAAGAGCAGACUACAUCAUCUAUGACUGAGUUCACAACAGAAACUUCAGCUACUGUAGAACUAACCAAAAGCCAACAGACACAAACCAAUCCUGGUAGUUCCCCCACAAUACCAGAAUCAACACCCUUCACAACAGAAGAGUCCACUGGGACUACAAUCACAUCGGAAUCUUCUACAAUGGAAACGACAAUAUACACAACAGGUACCUCUCCAUCUCCAGUAACUUCAACAACAGAGGAGCAGAAUACAUCAUCUAUGACUGAGUUUACAACUGAAACAAUAUCAGCUACUGUAGUACCAACCACAAGCCAGCAGACACAAACCAGUCCUGAUAGUUCCCCCACAAUAACAGAAUCAACACCCUUCACAACAGAAGAGUCCACUGGGACUACAAUCACAUCGGAAUCUUCUACGAUGGAAACUACAAUAAACACAACAGGUACCUCUCCAUCUCCGGUUACUUCAACAACAGAAGAGCAGAAUACAUCAUCUAUGACUGAGUUUACAACAGAAACAAUAUCAGCUACUGUAGGACUAACCACAAGCCAACAGACACCAACCAGUCCUGAUAGUUCCCCCACAAUACCAGAAUCAACAUCCUUCACAACAGAAGAGUCCACUGGGACUACAAUCACAUCGAAAUCUUCUACAAUGGAAACACUAUACACAACCGGUACCUCUCCAUCUCCGGUUUCUUCAACAACAGCAGAGCAGAAUACAUCAUCUAUGACUGAGUUUACAACUGAAACAAUAUCAGCUACUGUAGUA